RNAcentral lists this ribosomal RNA (460 nucleotides) under uncultured bacterium. RNAcentral's name for it is "partial 16S ribosomal RNA". It matches the Rfam family "Bacterial small subunit ribosomal RNA", at positions 338 to 795 of the family's 1533-position model. The record is from RNAcentral.
CCUACGGGCGGCAGCAGUGAGGAAUAUUGGUCAAUGGGCGCGAGCCUGAACCAGCCAAGUAGCGUGAAGGAUGACUGCCCUAUGGGUUGUAAACUUCUUUUAUAAAGGAAUAAAGUGAGGAACGUGUGCCUUUUUGUAUGUACUUUAUGAAUAAGGAUCGGCUAACUCCGUGCCAGCAGCCGCGGUAAUACGGAGGAUCCGAGCGUUAUCCGGAUUUAUUGGGUUUAAAGGGAGCGUAGAUGGGUUGUUAAGUCAGUGGUGAAAGUUUGCGGCUCAACCGUAAAAUUGCCGUUGAUACUGGUUGACUUGAGUACAGUUGAGGUAGGCGGAAUGCGUGGUGUAGCGGUGAAAUGCUUAGAUAUCACGAAGAACUCCGAUUGCGAAGGCAGCUUACUAAACUACCACUGACACUGAUGCACGAAAGUGUGGGUAUCAAACAGGAUUAGAUACCCGUGUAGUC